ACGCUGGCGGCAGGCUUAACACAUGCAAGUCGAACGGUAACAGGAGAAAGCUUGCUUUCUUGCUGACGAGUGGCGGACGGGUGAGUAAUGCUUGGGAAUCUGGCUUAUGGAGGGGGAUAACGACGGGAAACUGUCGCUAAUACCGCGUAGAGUCGAGAGACGAAAGUGCGGGACCGCAAGGCCGCAUGCCAUAGGAUGAGCCCAAGUGGGAUUAGGUAGUUGGUGGGGUAAUAGCCUACCAAGCCGACGAUCUCUAGCUGGUCUGAGAGGAUGACCAGCCACACCGGGACUGAGACACGGCCCGGACUCCUACGGGAGGCAGCAGUGGGGAAUAUUGCGCAAUGGGGGCAACCCUGACGCAGCCAUGCCGCGUGAAUGAAGAAGGCCUUCGGGUUGUAAAGUUCUUUCGGUAUUGAGGAAGGUUGUUGUGUUAAUAGCACGACAAAUUGACGUUAAAUACAGAAGAAGCACCGGCUAAUUCCGUGCCAGCAGCCGCGGUAAUACGGAGGGUGCGAGCGUUAAUCGGAAUAACUGGGCGUAAAGGGCACGCAGGCGGACUUUUAAGUGAGGUGUGAAAUCCCCGGGCUUAACCUGGGAAUUGCAUUUCAGACUGGGAGUCUAGAGUACUUUAGGGAGGGGUAGAAUUCCACGUGUAGCGGUGAAAUGCGUAGAGAUGUGGAGGAAUACCGAAGGCGAAGGCAGCCCCUUGGGAAUGUACUGACGCUCAUGUGCGAAAGCGUGGGGAGCAAACAGGAUUAGAUACCCUGGUAGUCCACGCUGUAAACGCUGUCGAUUUGGGGAUUGGGCUUUAAGCUUGGUGCCCGAAGCUAACGUGAUAAAUCGACCGCCUGGGGAGUACGGCCGCAAGGUUAAAACUCAAAUGAAUUGACGGGGGCCCGCACAAGCGGUGGAGCAUGUGG
RNAcentral lists this ribosomal RNA (920 nucleotides) under uncultured bacterium. RNAcentral describes it as "bacterial SSU rRNA". It matches the Rfam family "Bacterial small subunit ribosomal RNA", at positions 33 to 944 of the family's 1533-position model. The record is from RNAcentral.